This 491-nucleotide ribosomal RNA is filed under the name uncultured bacterium. RNAcentral's name for it is "partial 16S ribosomal RNA". It matches the Rfam family "Bacterial small subunit ribosomal RNA", at positions 29 to 506 of the family's 1533-position model. The record is from RNAcentral.
AGUGAACGCUGGCGGUAGGCCUAACACAUGCAAGUCGAACGGCAGCACAGUAAGAGCUUGCUCUUACGGGUGGCGAGUGGCGGACGGGUGAGGAAUACAUCGGAAUCUACUUUUUCGUGGGGGAUAACGUAGGGAAACUUACGCUAAUACCGCAUACGACCUACGGGUGAAAGCAGGGGAUCUUCGGACCUUGCGCGAUUGAAUGAGCCGAUGUCGGAUUAGCUAGUUGGCGGGGUAAAGGCCCACCAAGGCGACGAUCCGUAGCUGGUCUGAGAGGAUGAUCAGCCCAACUGGAACUGAGAAACGGUCCAGACCCCUAGGGGGGGGAGCAGGGGGGAAUAUUGGAAAAGGGGGGAAAGCCUGACCCAGCCAUACCGGGGGGGGGAAGAAGGCCUUCGGGUUGUAAAGCCCUUUUGUUGGGAAAGAAAAGAAGCAGGUUAAUACCCCGCUGUUCUGACGGUACCAAAAGAAUAAGCACCGGCUAAUUUCGU